Molecule: long non-coding RNA, 1926 nt
Organism: Felis catus (domestic cat)
Lineage: Eukaryota; Metazoa; Chordata; Mammalia; Carnivora; Felidae
Exons: 3
Source: RefSeq, a predicted model, not a curated record
GGCGGGCACAGCUCCCUGGAUGCUCCUCCUUCCCCACCCUCCACGGUCCACUUGAUUCUGUGCCUUGGAGCCCUCACCACAGCUGGUGAUGCAGGCGUGGAGCCUGCUGCUGAGGACGGCAGCACAUCUAGAAGCCUUUGAAAGGCUCUUGGGAAAUUGCAUUGCCCUCUGAAGGUCAGUGUCUGGUUCUUCACCUCAAGGAGAAAUAAAGAGCACCUGGAUAUUCAAGUGCUUGUUCCAGAAGGAUCUGGGCCCAAGGGACAGGGUAAGCACUCCCAGUCCCCGAGCCCCACGGAGCCAUGAGCUGUUGUCCUCUGAUGCGAGUUAUUUCUCAUCAUCUAAGCCACCUGUGGGGAGGUGAGGAGGGAAUGUUUGAUUACUGGGGCUGCAGCCAGAGAAACCUUUGCUGGGGAUGUCUGAACUGAGACCAAGGAGAGCCUGUGGGGCUUAGACCUGCUACCGCUUUUGAUGGCCAAGUCAAUGCCAGUUGUGCCCACUUCCCAGAUGGGAGCAGUGAGUUGGUGGAGAGAUCAUGUGACCUGAAGCUAGGAGCAUGGGGAGCCCCAUUUCAGUCAUUCCCCGGUCUCAGAAGCCACCUUUGACUCCAGUACCUCUUUCUUGGAGGGUCAAUAGGCUGUCAAGGGUACACCCAAAAGAGCAAAGGCUGAGGCGGCAGCAAUCCCCGAUAGGAAGUGAGGCUCUCCUGGGGCUCUCCUUCCAGCUGUAGCUCCAAGAGCAGGUGGGAAGUAACUUGGCCAACGGUCCUCUGAACAGUGCCAUUUUCUGGACCCUCCUGCUCUGCCUCAGCAGAGAUUUUGUGAGAGGAUUCUUGCGACCAGCUAGGUAAGUCUGGUGUUUGUUAGUGUGUCAAAUGCUCAGAAGCAAAAGAAAUUAGCCCCAUUUAAUGCCCAGCCAUCUGAGGCCAGUCUCCACCAGCCAAAACAGUCCAAGAAUGGGGACCUAAGUCCCAGCAGAAGCCAGGAUCCAUCGUGAGCAAUCAGACCACCACCAAGUGAGUCGGGUUUCCCCUUGAUUCAGAAUCAAGAGACCAAGAAGGUCUGGACUCUGCUCCCCUGUGAGAAAUAAACCCACUGACCCAAUCAAAGGAGGGACCAUGGAGACUUACAACACAGUGAAGCAAGGCUUUAACCAACAUUCUUGCAAGAGCAGGUCUGAUGGACAGGCAAGCUCGGGGCAGUUACAGCAACUUACCUCCUAGUGUGAAGUCCUUCCCCUGGUUCCUCAUUGGCUGAGCACUACAGAGAUCUUCAAGUCAAGGAGAACCACUCUUGAUGAGGUACAUGCAGAGAUGACAUCCAGAUUCAGACCUGACAUGGAUGACAAGCCCCUCGGCCUCCCAUUGAUGCCUUAAUGAGGUGGAUUUGGGGAAGGAGGUGACUGCAUUUUGUACAUGGUUGCUACAAGUCAGACCAUGGUAUACAGUCUCCAAAGAUGGCCACUGUUAACUUCAUGCUACUGCUCCUCACAUGAAAAGAUGGGGCCUAAUUCUCUUCUCCUUGAAUCUGGACCAGCAUAAUGACUUACUUGAUCAACAGAAUGCAGCAGAAAUGACACUCUUGGAUUUCUGAGAUAAAUCUUAAAAAGCCUCAUAGCCCCCUUUGGGGCCUCUUGGGCUGCUCACUUUGGGUACACUUCCUCUCAGAACCUAGAUGCCAUGUUCUGAGAAGCCCAAGCUACAUAGAGAGGUCACAGGUAGGCAUUCCAGCUGACUCCCAGCUAACAACUGGUGCCAAAUGCCAGGGUAAUUGAGUGAGCUACCUUGGAAACUGAAUUAAUUUGAACUUUCUGGUGACUCCAGCCCCAACAUCUGUCUUCAACUGCAUGAGAGGUCCCAAAUGAGAACCCCAUUGACUGGUUACAGUCUACUUAUAGAACCUUGAGAGAUAAUAAAUUUGUUUUAAUUUA